AAAUUGAAGAGUUUGAUCAUGGCUCAGAUUGAACGCUGGCGGCAGGCCUAACACAUGCAAGUCGAGCGGUAGCACAGAGAGCUUGCUCUCGGGUGACGAGCGGCGGACGGGUGAGUAAUGUCUGGGAAACUGCCUGAUGGAGGGGGAUAACUACUGGAAACGGUAGCUAAUACCGCAUAACGUCGCAAGACCAAAGUGGGGGACCUUCGGGCCUCAUGCCAUCAGAUGUGCCCAGAUGGGAUUAGCUAGUAGGUGGGGUAACGGCUCACCUAGGCGACGAUCCCUAGCUGGUCUGAGAGGAUGACCAGCCACACUGGAACUGAGAGACGGUCCAGACUCCUACGGGAGGCAGCAGUGGGGAAUAUUGCACAAUGGGCGCAAGCCUGAUGCAGCCAUGCCGCGUGUGUGAAGAAGGCCUUCGGGUUGUAAAGCACUUUCAGCGGGGAGGAAGGCGAUAAGGUUAAUAACCUUGUCGAUUGACGUUACCCGCAGAAGAAGCACCGGCUAACUCCGUGCCAGCAGCCGCGGUAAUACGGAGGGUGCAAGCGUUAAUCGGAAUUACUGGGCGUAAAGCGCACGCAGGCGGUCUGUCAAGUCGGAUGUGAAAUCCCCGGGCUCAACCUGGGAACUGCAUUCGAAACUGGCAGGCUAGAGUCUUGUAGAGGGGGGUAGAAUUCCAGGUGUAGCGGUGAAAUGCGUAGAGAUCUGGAGGAAUACCGGUGGCGAAGGCGGCCCCCUGGACAAAGACUGACGCUCAGGUGCGAAAGCGUGGGGAGCAAACAGGAUUAGAUACCCUGGUAGUCCACGCCGUAAACGAUGUCGAUUUGGAGGUUGUGCCCUUGAGGCGUGGCUUCCGGAGCUAACGCGUUAAAUCGACCGCCUGGGGAGUACGGCCGCAAGGUUAAAACUCAAAUGAAUUGACGGGGGCCCGCACAAGCGGUGGAGCAUGUGGUUUAAUUCGAUGCAACGCGAAGAACCUUACCUGGUCUUGACAUCCACAGAACUUUCCAGAGAUGGAUUGGUGCCUUCGGGAACUGUGAGACAGGUGCUGCAUGGCUGUCGUCAGCUCGUGUUGUGAAAUGUUGGGUUAAGUCCCGCAACGAGCGCAACCCUUAUCCUUUGUUGCCAGCGGUCCGGCCGGGAACUCAAAGGAGACUGCCAGUGAUAAACUGGAGGAAGGUGGGGAUGACGUCAAGUCAUCAUGGCCCUUACGACCAGGGCUACACACGUGCUACAAUGGCAUAUACAAAGAGAAGCGACCUCGCGAGAGCAAGCGGACCUCAUAAAGUAUGUCGUAGUCCGGAUUGGAGUCUGCAACUCGACUCCAUGAAGUCGGAAUCGCUAGUAAUCGUAGAUCAGAAUGCUACGGUGAAUACGUUCCCGGGCCUUGUACACACCGCCCGUCACACCAUGGGAGUGGGUUGCAAAAGAAGUAGGUAGCUUAACCUUCGGGAGGGCGCUUACCACUUUGUGAUUCAUGACUGGGGUGAAGUCGUAACAAGGUAACCGUAGGGGAACCUGCGGUUGGAUCACCUCCUUACCUUAAAGAA
This 1550-nucleotide ribosomal RNA is filed under the name Klebsiella pneumoniae. RNAcentral's name for it is "bacterial SSU rRNA". It matches the Rfam family "Bacterial small subunit ribosomal RNA". Lineage: Bacteria; Pseudomonadati; Pseudomonadota; Gammaproteobacteria; Enterobacterales; Enterobacteriaceae. The record is from RNAcentral.